Long non-coding RNA from Apis mellifera (honey bee), 598 nucleotides. RefSeq lists it as uncharacterized. The transcript is spliced from 3 exons. Lineage: Eukaryota; Metazoa; Arthropoda; Insecta; Hymenoptera; Apidae. The record is from RefSeq and is a predicted model, not a curated record.
UGAUCUUAUAAAAAUUCUGAAUAAAAUAUAUUGUACAACAUUCAGAUUUUUCGUUCGAUUUUUGAAUGCUGAACUAGUUUACAGCAAUAGCCAAUCAAAAAAUUGUUUGGUGAAUUUGUUCCGCAUAAUGGUGUGUAGCAUCAUUUGUCUGUCAAGAAUCAUCAUAUUAAUAUGUGUAAUAUUAUAAUUGUGACAUGUUGAAUUGUUAAUCAUUAGAAAAAAUGAAGUGACUUUAGUUUUUUGUAUCUUGAUAUCGAAGAUAAUUGUUUAAUGUGUUUUAUAUAUUUUUAUGGUAUAUUAAUUCACACAUAUUAUCAGAAAUAAGAAGCAAGAAAAUAUGAUAUUUUAUAAUAUAAUAAUGAUAAUAAUUAUUUAUUAUCAAUUGGCAACUACUUGCGCCAUUAUCGAUACGAUCGCUUAUCAACCUUGCCUGUCGAAUUACUUCGUUAUCAAAUGAAGAUAUAGUCGUGCCUGAAUUUUUAAUUUAAUUUAUUAUAAUAUUAUUUACGAGUAAUAAGAUACAUGUUUUCUAAUACUGGUAAGUGAUUUUUUUUUUUAUAAUAUAUGUACUGACCAUAAAUAUUUUGAUUUUCUUGUA